Molecule: ribosomal RNA, 490 nt
Filed under: uncultured bacterium
Lineage: Bacteria
Description: partial 16S ribosomal RNA
Rfam family: Bacterial small subunit ribosomal RNA
Source: RNAcentral
AGUGAACGCUGGCGGCAGGCCUAACACAUGCAAGUCGAACGGCAGCACAAGAGAGCUUGCUCUCUGGGUGGCGAGUGGCGGACGGGUGAGGAAUGCAUCGGAAUCUGCCCAUUUGUGGGGGAUAACCUCGGGAAACCGGGACUAAUACCGCAUACGACCUACGGGUGAAAGCAGGGGAUCUUCGGACCUUGCGCAGAUGGAUGAGCCGAUGCCGGAUUAGCUAGUUGGAGGGGUAAAGGCCCACCAAGGCGACGAUCCGUAGCUGGUCUGAGAGGAUGAUCAGCCACACUGGGACUGAGACACGACCCAGACUCCUACGGGAGGCAGCAGUGGGGAAUAUUGGACAAUGGGCGCAAGCCUGAUCCAGCCAUGCCGCGUGUGUGAAGAAGGCCUUCGGGUUGUAAAGCACUUUUGUUGGGAAAGAAAAGCAGCCGGUUAAUACCCGGUUGUCAUGACGGUACCCAAAGAAUAAGCACCGGCUAACUUCGUG